RNAcentral lists this ribosomal RNA (597 nucleotides) under uncultured archaeon. RNAcentral describes it as "bacterial SSU rRNA". It matches the Rfam family "Archaeal small subunit ribosomal RNA", at positions 91 to 687 of the family's 1478-position model. The record is from RNAcentral.
UAGUAACACGUAGUUAAUCUGCCCUUAGGUGAAGGAUAAGCACGGGAAACUGUGUCUAAUACUUCAUAGGAGUUUAGUGCUGGAAUGCUUUUACUCUGAAACAUUAGGCCUAAGGAUGAGACUGCGGCUGAUUAGCUUGUUGGUGGGGUAACUGCCUACCAAGGCGAUGAUCAGUAGGGGCUCUUAGCGGAGUAGCCCCAAGAAGGAAUCUGAGACACUAUUCCUAGCUCUACGGAGUGCAGCAGCUGCGAAUUUUUUACAAUGCACGCAAGUGUGAUAAAGCGAGCCAAAGUGCUAUCUGUUUUACAGUUAGCUUUUCUUCAGUUUAAAACGCUGGAGGAAUCAGGACUGGGAAAGAUCGGUGCCAGCCGCCGCGGUAAUACCGACAGUUCAAGUUGCAUCCACUUUAAUAGGGUCUAAAACAUCCGUAGCUAGUUAGUUAAGUCUCUUGUGAAAUCCCAUGUCUCAAGCAUGGGGCUUGCAGGAGAUACUGGCUAGCUAGAGACCGGUAGGCGUACGGAGUACGGGCAACGUAGUGGUAAAAUACGUUAAUCUUGCUUGGACUAACGAAUUAGCGCAAGCACCUUACGAAGACCG